RNA transcript from Bacillus rossius redtenbacheri, 1988 nucleotides. It is a transcript of the gene named lachesin, with no coding region annotated. NCBI's taxonomy places the organism in Eukaryota, Metazoa, Arthropoda, Insecta, Phasmatodea, Bacillidae. The transcript has 7 exons. The record is from RefSeq and is a predicted model, not a curated record.
CUGUUUUCAAUAUCUAUGGAAGUAACCAACGCCUUCACGGCGAAGCAAUUUGAAAACGUAUUUAUUUACGAAAACAUUGAGGAAUUCUUUGACUUGUGAAUAUAAUUUUUUGUUGAUAUUGAAAGUAAGAUUAGUGUAAGGUUGAUAACGAACGUAACCUUUCCUGUAAGAUAUAUUAUGGCGAUGUUUACGAGGAUGUCAAUCUUCAUACUGAUGCUUUGUUUAUGUGGUGCAGCAUGGGGCCAGAGGACCCCCACCAUCUCAUACAUCUCGCAGCUGCAAAUCAAGGACAUCGGUGGUGUAGUGGAGCUGGAGUGUUCGGUGCAGUAUGCACAGGACUACCCGGUGCUGUGGAUGAAGAUUGAUCAGUUCCGCACCACUGAGCCCCUGCCCAUCUCCACUGGCAGUGCCUUGAUUAUCCGCGACAGCCGCUUUGCUCUGCAGUACGAGACGGCCAGUUCCACCUACACACUGCAGAUCAAAGACAUCCAGGAGACUGAUGCUGGGUUCUACCAGUGCCAAGUAAUCAUUGCUCUGAACAACAAGAUAUCUGCAGAAGUGGAACUGCAAGUGCGUCGACCACCCAUCAUAUCCGACAACUCGACACGCUCCUUGGUGGUGAGCGAGAUGCAGUCUGUAAAACUUGAGUGUUAUGCGAAUGGAUAUCCGGAACCAAGGAUAUCGUGGCGGAGAGAAAAUAAUGCAGUUUUGCCAACAGGAGGAUCUAUUUACAGAGGAAAUGUGUUGAAGAUCUCAGCUGUACGCAAAGAAGAUCGUGGGACUUACUACUGUGUGGCAGAGAAUGGAGUUGGCAGAGGAGCUCGGCGCAACAUUGCUGUUGAGGUGGAGUUUUCCCCUGUGAUCACGGUGCCGAAGCCUCGUAUUGGCCAGGCGUUACAGUUCGACAUGGACCUGGAGUGCCAUGUUGAAGCCUACCCCCCACCUGCCGUGGUCUGGCUUAAGGAUGAUGUUCAACUGUCAAACAACCAGCACUAUAGCAUCUCUCAUUUUGCAACUGCUGACGAAUUCACGGACACAACCAUUCGAGUGAUCACCAUUGAGAAGCGUCAGUAUGGGAUGUACAUUUGCAAGGCUGCCAACAAACUUGGAACUGUAACUGCUGAAGUGGAGUUGUUUGAAACCAUAAUCCCAGUGUGUCCGCCGGCCUGUGGGCAGGCGCGCUAUGGGGAUGCAGCGCAGAUCACAACUAGCAUGGCUCUAGUCCUGAUCUCAGUACUGCUAGUUUUCCUGCAUCGGUAGGUUGUCUCCUUGUAGCCAACUGUAACUGUAGCUGCAUAGCUGUUGGUUCUGUGGCAAGUAUUCCAGGUGAUGGGCAAUGGUAGGCAAAUAAGAUAUCACGAAACUUCCAUACCAAACAUUAACUAUCCUGGGCUGAUCUGGGAGAAUGGCGCCUGCAGUUUCAGAAACAUUCCACUUCUGAGUAUUGUUUUAUUUGUUGCUGUUCUAGCUAAUUAUUUUUACUUUAGUAUGGCCAAAUAAUUUUUUCUACUGUAUUAUUUAUGUGAAUGUACAGUUGUUAAUAAAUAUUCCUUUAUUUUUGUAGUACCUGUAAGAUGGGAGGAGCUGGUGAUUAUUGAAAUGAAAGAAGGGAUCAUUCUCUUUAACAUUUAUGUGUGACAUUGAAUAGGGGUUGUGUACAUUCAAAUUGCUACUAGUUAUUUAGACAUUUUUAUUUACAAACACAUCACUUUAUUCAUAUAAAUUUUUUGAAAAUUGAUUUUCUUUUUUACCUGUUUCAUACCUGUAGUCAAAAAAUAUUAUGUUUGACAUGAAUAUAUUUUUAAUUGUGUACUUGUUUAAACUCAUGUUAUUUCAGAUUUUCAAUGGCUUUUAUAUUCAAUGGUGUUUUUAUAUUAAUUUUUUUUUUAAUUUGCAUGUAUUUGCAUUGUACUUUCAGGGUAUUUUGUUUUUAGUGUCAAUGUACUAAGUAUAAACCUGCAUUGUUAAUUAAAAAUUAAUAGUUUUCU